AUUAGUGGCAUCUAUUAAUAUUCAGAUUAAAGGGUCAGAAACCUUCCUGAACAAAACAACACAGAUCCUCAUCACACCUCCAACACAAGUGACGCUCGUUCAGACGGACAAACCCAUCUAUAAACCAGGACAAACAGUGAAGUUCCGCAUCGUCUCCCUGGAUACCAAUUUCCUCACCUACGAACAGACGUUUCCAACAAUAGAAGUCAAG
This is a long non-coding RNA of Tachysurus fulvidraco (yellow catfish), 211 nucleotides long. RefSeq lists it as uncharacterized. The record is from RefSeq and is a predicted model, not a curated record. The transcript has 3 exons. NCBI's taxonomy places the organism in Eukaryota, Metazoa, Chordata, Actinopteri, Siluriformes, Bagridae.